AGCAAGGUAUCAGAUAAUGAGAGGUGGUGGUUUCCAUAACAGUUUGCGUGGUAAGGGUCCAAGUAGUUUAACACGACCAGUAGACAAGACCAACCAACAAUCCUCCAACAACAAUGAGAAUGAUAGAAACAACAAAAAUAGGUUUCCGCCUUCAUCAAUCUCUCCAAAGAAAG
This is a long non-coding RNA of Bolinopsis microptera, 173 nucleotides long. RefSeq lists it as uncharacterized. The record is from RefSeq and is a predicted model, not a curated record. The transcript is spliced from 3 exons. NCBI's taxonomy places the organism in Eukaryota, Metazoa, Ctenophora, Tentaculata, Lobata, Bolinopsidae.